RNAcentral lists this long non-coding RNA (1735 nucleotides) under Homo sapiens (human). Its description in RNAcentral is "HSALNT0357412". The record is from RNAcentral. Lineage: Eukaryota; Metazoa; Chordata; Mammalia; Primates; Hominidae.
GACACCAUAGAGGUGGGCCUUUGGCGAGUCACAGGCGCGGGUGUUCGGCUACGUCACUGGGGCGCUACGGUGCCUGGAGCUGGGCAGUCUUCUCGUCAGAGUGGGGACUGGUAAGAGCGACCUCACCGCCAGGUCCUGUGUGUUGCCGGCUGAAGAAGGGUAGCUGAAAAAUUCAGACCCAGCACAGUGUUUAUGUUGGUCAAAAAUAGAAAACUAUGUCUGCCGCGGCCGAGGCAGGAGGACCCUUCAGGCCAAGAGCAGCCUAGCAACAUGGCGCAACCCCAUCUCUGUAGUCCUACCUCAGCCCCCCAGCUACUUGAACCCAAAGGUUCAAGGCUCCAGUGAGCUAUGAUCCCACCACAGCAUUCCAGCCUGCGAGAUUGAGAUGAUGAUUAUUCCCCACCUUCUAAGAGACAAAGACCAACGAUCCACCACAGCCACCAGUCCCAGAACCCGCCAAUGCUGGGGAAUGGAAAAUGAGGGAGUUCAACUCUGGCCCUCACAAUCCAGUGGAGGAGACGAAACUCAUCUGCCUCUGUCCCUCUGGGCACGCCUCAUGCCAGGUGCAUCUGUGGACAGGGGCCAUGCUCCUGGGCUUCCAAAGUUGGAGAAAGCUGCCAGGCUCAGGUCUGAAGGCCAGAAUUCUACAGUAAGUCCUACUGAGUCAAGGUGGGAGCAGGGUCGGUGGCUUCCGAGGCUCUGCGGGAGAAUCCGUUUCCUGGCCGUAGAGGUGGCCUGCACUCCUCAGCUUGUGCUGCCCGUCUCGAAUGACUGGAGUUUCCUGCUUCUGUCACUACACCUCCCACCCUCUCCAUCACCUGCUCUGCUCUUAUAAGGAUCCGAAGAAAUGGAAUCAUCGUAUCGCUGAUCUGCGUAAACAAAUUGAAGAAUUGUCUGAAAGAAAAUAUGACAUGAACUUAUGAAUUCAACAGGUAAAGAUUUACAACUUGAUAAAUCAACUUUGUGAGCUCGAGCUGUAAAAGCCAAAGGUCCAGUGAUGAUCCCAUACCCUUUUGUCCAGUCUCAUGUUGAAGAUUUUUAUGUAGAAGGCCUUCCCAAAGGAAUUUUUUUUUUUUUUUUGAGAUGGAGUUUUCACUCUUAUCGCCCAGGCUGGGGUGCAAUGGCGCAACCUUGCUGGUCACUGCAACCUCUGCCUCCUGGGUUCAAGAAAUUCUCUUGCCUUAGCCUCCCAAGUUGCUGGGAUUACAGGUGCCCACCACCACACCAGGCUAAUUUUUGUAUUUUUAGUGGAGAUGGGGUUUCACCAUGUUGGCCGGGCCAGUCUCGAACUCCUGACGUCAAGUGAUCUUCCCGCCUCGACUCCUGACAUCAAGUGAUCUUCCCACCUCGGCCUCCAAGAGUGCUGAGAUUACAGAUGUGAACCCAUGCCUGGCCAGGAAUUUUGUUUUUUAGGAAGGCUUUCUACUAAUGGAAUUCCUGGCCUUGAGAGGAUGUUACUUUCGAAGGAAAGGAUUUUUUUGUUAUUAAAAGAGCCACCUAAGCUGAAGAUUCCCUUGAGAACAAGUACUGUCCUGCGGUUUCAUGGCCUUUCUUCCAUUUGUGGUUCUUGUGAAGUGGAAUUUAAAUGACAUCAAGAUGGAUAAACCCUAGUUUCCCAGUGCUGGAAUAUAGAAAAUGGAUGGACAACUGGACCUACCAUGAAAGACUUCUGAAUCCAGGAAGAGAAACUGACUGGGCAACAUGUUAUUCAGAGACAGCGUCUUGCUCUGUUGCU